RNAcentral lists this ribosomal RNA (352 nucleotides) under Klebsiella pneumoniae. RNAcentral's name for it is "partial 23S ribosomal RNA". It matches the Rfam family "Bacterial large subunit ribosomal RNA", at positions 2578 to 2925 of the family's 2925-position model. Lineage: Bacteria; Pseudomonadati; Pseudomonadota; Gammaproteobacteria; Enterobacterales; Enterobacteriaceae. The record is from RNAcentral.
UGUUCGCCCAUUAAAGCGGUACGCGAGCUGGGUUUAGAACGUCGUGAGACAGUUCGGUCCCUAUCCGUCGUGGGCGUAGGAAAUUUGAGAGGAGCUGUCCUUAGUACGAGAGGACCGGGAUGGACGCACCGCUGGUGUACCAGUUGUUCUGCCAAGGGCAUAGCUGGGUAGCUAUGUGCGGAAGGGAUAAGUGCUGAAAGCAUCUAAGCAUGAAGCCCCCCUCAAGAUGAGAUUUCCCAUAGCGUAAGCUAGUAAGAUCCCUGAAAGAUGAUCAGGUUGAUAGGUUCGAGGUGGAAGCAUGGUGACAUGUGGAGCUGACGAAUACUAAUAGAUCGAGGACUUAACCAUAUAA